CUAACCCUAACUCCAACCCUAACCCUAACCCUAGCUUCAACCCCACACCUAACCCUAACCCUAGCUCAAACCCUAACCCAUGCAUUCCUAUGGGAAAAAAUCAAAUUUUUUUAGGAACGUCCUAGAGACUCGGGAGUUGGUUCAUUGCACUCGGAAAAAUCCUAGCUCCAAGCCCAACCCUAACCCUAGCUCCAACACUAACCCUAACUCCAACCCUAACCCUAACCCUAGCUUCAACCCCACACCUAACCCUAACCCUAGCUCCAACCCUAACCCUAACCCUAACCCAUGCAUUCCUAUGGGAAAAAAUCAAAUUUUUUUAGGAACGUCCUAGAGACUCGGGAGUUGGUUCAUUGCAAUCAGAAAAAUCCUAGCUCCAAGCCCAACCCUAACCCUAGCUCCAACACUAACCCUAACUCCAACCCUAACCCUAACCCUAACCCUAGCUCCAACCCUGACCCUAACCCUAACCCAUGCAUUCCUAUGGGAAAAAAUCAAUUUUUUUUAGGAACGUCCUAGAGACUCGGGAGUUGGUUCAUUGCACUCAGAAAAAUCCUAGCUCCAAGUCCAACCCUAACCCUAGCUCCAACACUAACCCUAACUCCAACCCUAACCCUAACCCUAGCUUCAACCCCACACCUAACCCUAACCCUAGCUCAAACCCUAACCCAUGCAUUCCUAUGGGAAAAAAUCAAAUUUUUUUAGGAACGUCCUAGAGACUCAGGAGUUGGUUCAUUGCACUCAGAAAAAUCCUAGCUCCAAGCCCAACCCUAACCCUAGCUCCAACACUAACCCUAACUCCAACCCUAACCCUAACCCUAGCUUCAACCCCACACCUAACCCUAACCCUAGCUCCAACCCUAACCCUAACCCUAACCCAUGCAUUCCUAUGGGAAAAAAUCAAAUUUUUUUAGGAACGUCCUAGAGACUCGGGAGUUGGUUCAUUGCAAUCAGAAAAAUCCUAGCUCCAAGCCCAACCCUAACCCUAGCUCCAACACUAACCCUAACUCCAACCCUAACCCUAACCCUAACCCUAGCUCCAACCCUGACCCUAACCCUAACCCAUGCAUUCCUAUGGGAAAAAAUCAAUUUUUUUUAGGAACGUCCUAGAGACUCGGGAGUUGGUUCAUUGCACUCAGAAAAAUCCUAGCUCCAAGCCCAACCCUAACCCUAGCUCCAACACUAACCCUAACUCCAACCCUAACCCUAACCCUAACCCUAGCUCCAACCCUAACCCUAACCCUAACCCAUGCAUUCCUACGGGAAAAAAUCAAAUUUUUUUAGGAACGUCCUAGAGACUCAGGAGUUGGUUCAUUGCACUCAGAAAAAUCCUAGCUCCAAGCCCAACCCUAACCCUAGCUCCAACACUAACCCUAACUCCAACCCUAACCCUAACCCUAACCCUAGCUCCAACCCUAACCCUAACCCUAACCCUAACCCAUGCAUUCCUAUGGGAAAAAAACAAAUUUUUUUAGGAACGUCCUAGAGACUCGGGAGUUGGUUCAUUGCACUCAGAAAAAUCCUAGCUCCAAGCCCAACCCUAACCCUAGCUCCAACACUAACCCUAACUCCAACCCUAACCCUAACCCUAACCCAUGCAUUCCUAUGGGAAAAAAUCAAAUUUUUUUAGGAACGUCCUAGAGACUCGGGAGUUGGUUCAUUGCACUCAGAAAAAUCCUAGCUCCAAGCCCAACCCUAACCCUAGCUCCAACACUACCCCUAACUCCAACCCUAACCCUAACCCUAACCCUAGCUCCAACCCUAACCCUAACCCUAACCCAUGCAUUCCUAUGGGAAAAAAUCAAAUUUUUUUAGGAACGUCCUAGAGACUCGGGAGUUGGUUCAUUGCACUCAGAAAAAUCCUCCAGCUCCAAGUCCAACCCUAACCCUAGCUCCAACACUAACCCUAACUCCAACCCUAACCCUAACCCUAACCCUAGCUCCAACCCUAACCCUAACCCUAACCCAUGCAUUCCUAUGGGAAAAAAUCAAAUUUUUUUAGAAACGUCCUAGAGACUCAGGAGUUGGUUCAUUGCACUCAGAAAAAUCCUAGCUCCAAGCCCAACCCUAACCCUAGCUCCAACACUAACCCUAACUCCAACCCUAACCCUAACCCUAACCCUAGCUCCAACCCUAACCCUAACCCUAACCCAUGCAUUCCUAUGGGAAAAAAUCAAAUUUUUUUAGGAACGUCCUAGAGACUCGGAGUUGGUUCAUUGCACUCAGAAAAAUCCUAGCUCCAAGCCCAACCCUAACCCUAGCUCCAACACUAACCCUAACUCCAACCCUAACCCUAACCCUAACCCUAGCUCCAACCCUAACCCUAACCCAAACCCAUGCAUUCCUAUGGAAAAAAAUCAAUUUUUUUAGGAAUGUCCUAGAGACUCGGGAGUUGGUUCAUUGCACUCAGAAAAAUCCUAGCUCCAAGCCCAACCCUAACCCUAGCUCCAACACUAACCCUAACUCCAACCCUAACCCUAACCCUAGCUCCAACCCUAACCCUAACCCUAACCCAUGCAUUCCCAUGGGAAAAAAUCAAAUUUUUUUAGGAACGUCCUAGAGACUUGGGAGUUGGUUCAUUGCACUCAGAAAAAUCCUAGCUCCAAGCCCAACCCUAACCCUAGCUCCAACACUAACCCUAACGCCAACCCUAACCCUAACCCUAACCCUAGCUCCAACCCUAACCCUAACCCUAACCCAUGCAUUCCUAUGGGAAAAAAUCAAAUUUUUUUAGGAACGUCCUAGAGACUCGGGAGUUGGUUCAUUGCAAUCAGAAAAAUCCUAGCUCCAAGCCCAACCCUAACCCUAGCUCCAACACUAACCCUAACGCCAACCCUAACCCUAACCCUAACCCUAGCUCCAACCCUAACCCUAACCCUAACCCAUGCAUUCCUAUGGGAAAAAAUCACAUUUUUUAGGAACGUCCUAGAGACUCGGGAGUUGGUUCAUUGCACUCAGAAAAAUCCUAGCUCCAAGCCCAACCCUAACCCUAGCUCCAACACUAACCCUAACUCUAACCCUAACCCUAACCCUAGCUCCAACCCUAACCCUAACCCUAACCCAUGCAUUCCUAUGGGAAAAAAUCAAUUUUUUUAGGAACGUCCUAGAGACUCGGGAAUUGGUUCAUUGCACUCAGAAAAAUCCUAGCUCCAAGCCCAACCCUAACCCUAGCUCCAACACUAACCCUAACUCCAACCCUAACCCUAACCCUAGCUCCAACCCUAACCCUAACCCUAACCCAUGCAUUCCUAUGGGAAAAAAUCAAAUUUUUUUAGGAAUGUCCUAGAGACUCGGGAGUUGGUUCAUUGCACUCAGAAAAAUCCUAGCUCCAAGCCCAACCCUAACCCUAGCUCCAACACUAACCCUAACUCCAACCCUAACCCUAACCCUAACCCUAGCUCCAACCCUAACCCUAACCCUAACCCAUGCAUUCCUAUGGGAAAAAAUCACAUUUUUUAGGAACGUCCUAGAGACUUGGGAGUUGGUUCAUUGCACUCAGAAAAAUCCUAGCUCCAAGCCCAACCCUAACCCUAGCUCCAACACUAACCCUAACUCCAACCCUAACCCUAACCCUAACCCUAGCUCCAACCCUAACCCUAACCCUAACCCAUGCAUUCCUAUGGGAAAAAAUCAAAUUUUUUUAGGAACGUCCUAGAGACUCGGGAGUUGGUUCAUUGCAAUCAGAAAAAUCCUAGCUCCAAGCCCAACCCUAACCCUAGCUCCAACACUAACCCUAACUCCAACCCUAACCCUAACCCUAACCCUAGCUCCAACCCUAACCCUAACCCUAACCCAUGCAUUCCUAUGGGAAAAAAUCACAUUUUUUAGGAACGUCCUAGAGACUCGGGAGUUGGUUCAUUGCACUCAGAAAAAUCCUAGCUCCAAGCCCAACCCUAACCCUAGCUCCAACACUAACCCUAACUCUAACCCUAACCCUAACCCUAGCUCCAACCCUAACCCUAACCCUAACCCAUGCAUUCCUAUGGGAAAAAAUCAAAUUUUUUUAGGAACGUCCUAGAGACUCGGGAGUUGGUUCAUUGCACUCAGAAAAAUCCUAGCUCCAAGCCCAACCCUAACCCUAGCUCCAACACUAACCCUAACUCCAACCCUAACCCUAACCCUAACCCUAGCUCCAACCCUAACCCUAACCCUAACCCUAACCCAUGCAUUCCUAUGGGAAAAAAUCAAAUUUUUUUAGGAACGUCCUAGAGACUCGGGAGUUGGUUCAUUGCACUCAGAAAAAUCCUAGCUCCAAGCCCAACCCUAACCCUAGCUCCAACACUAACCCUAACUCCAACCCUAACCCUAACCCUAACCCUAGCUCCAACCCUAACCCUAACCCUAACCCAUGCAUUCCUAUGGGAAAAAAUCAAAUUUUUUUAGGAACGUCCUAGAGACUCGGUGAGUUGGUUCAUUGCACUCAGAAAAAUCCUAGCUCCAAGCCCAACCCUAACCCUAGCUCCAACACUAACCCUAACUCCAACCCUAACCCUAACCCUAACUCUAGCUCCAACCCUAACCCUAACCCUAGCUCCACACCUAACCCUAACCCUAACCCUAGCUCCAACCUUAACCCUAACCCUAACCCUAGCCCCAACCCUAACCCUAGCUCUAACCCUAACCCUAGCUCCACCCUAAUCCUAACCCUAACCCUAACCCUAGCUCCAACCUUAACCCUAACCCUAACCCUAACUCCAACCCUAACCCUAACCCUAACCCUAGCUCCAACCCUAACCCUAACCCUAACCCUAGCUCCAACCCUAACCCUAACCCUAACCCUAGCUCCAACCUUAACCCUAACCCUAGCCCCAACCCUAACCCUAGCUCUAACCCUAACCCUAGCUCCACCCUAAUCCUAACCCUAACCCUAACCCUAGCUCCAACCUUAACCCUAACCCUAACUCCAACCCUAACCCUAACCCUAACCCUAGCUCCAACCCUAAUCCUAACCCUAACCCAUGCAUUCCUAUGGGAAAAAAUCAAAUUUUUUUAGGAACGUCCUAGAGACUCAGGAGGUGGUUCAUUGCACUCAGAAAAAUCCUAGCUCCAAGCCCAACCCUAACCCUAGCUCCAACACUAACCCAACUCCAACCCUAACCCUAACCCUAACCCUAGCUCCAACCCUAACCCUAACCCUAACCCAUGCAUUCCUAUGGGAAAAAAUCAAUUUUUUUUAGGAACGUCCUAGAGACUCGGGAGUUGGUUCAUUGCACUCAGAAAAAUCCUAGCUCCAAGCCCAACCCUAACCCUAGCUCCAACACUAACCCUAACUCCAACCCUAACCCUAACCCUAACCCUAGCUCCAACCCUAACCCUAACCCUAACCCAUGCAUUCCUAUGGGAAAAAAUCAAAUUUUUUUAGGAACGUCCUAGAGACUCGGGAGUUGGUUCAUUGCACUCAGAAAAAUGCUAGCUCCAAGCCCAACCCUAACCCUAGCUCCAACACUAACCCUAACUCCAACCCUAACCCUAACCCUAACCCUAGCUCCAACCCUAACCCUAACCCUAACCCAUGCAUUCCCAUGGGAAAAAAUCCAUUUUUUUUAGGAACGUCCUAGAGACUCGGGAGUUGGUUCAUUGCACUCAGAAAAAUCCUAGCUCCAAGCCCAACCCUAACCCUAGCUCCAACUCUAACCCUAACUCCAACCCUAACGCCAACCCUAACCCUAGCUCCAACCCUAACCCUAACCCUAACCCUAACCCAUGCAUUCCUAUGGGAAAAAAUCAAUUUUUUUUAGGAACGUCCUAGAGACUCAGGAGUUGGUUCAUUGCACUCAGAAAAAUCCUAGCUCCAAGCCCAACCCUAACCCUAGCUCCAACACUAACCCUAACUCCAACCCUAACCCUAACCCUAACCCUAGCUCCAACCCUAACCCUAACCCUAACCCAUGCAUUCCUAUGGGAAAAAAAUCAAAUUUUUUUAGGAACGUCCUAGAGACUCGGGAGUUGGUUCAUUGCACUCAGAAAAAUCCUAGCUCCAAGCCCAACCCUAACCCUAGCUCCAACACUAACCCUAACUCCAACCCUAACCCUAACCCUAACCCUAGCUCCAACCCCACACCUAACCCUAACCCUAGCUCCAACCUUAAAUGGUCAGGGGCCGUGUCCUGUCUGAGAAGAAAAGAGCACAUUGUGAGCUGAGAUGAACCAGUUAACCAUUUCGCACAACUCAAAGUAAAAAAUUUUAACCGUACAUAUUUUAAAAUAAGCUUCUUCCAGAUAAAAAUGCUAGCAGGGAUACAUGUGGACUUGUUAGAGGAGAGAUUAAGACAUCCUGUCAUACCUCAGUCAUUGUUCUGUUUUAGACUAACUUUAAGCUAAAGCUAAAAUUAGCAAACAUAGUAGUUUGGGGCAACAUGUCUCAGUCUUUUUGGGGUUAGUUGUCACGUGUUUCAAAGGGAUUCAUAUUAACAUAGAAAGUCUGCUUAUCAGCAGUUGUCAUAUUGAAAUUUUGACUUUAUUUUUACAGAAAAAGAGUGAUUUAAAGGAGAGGAGAAAGUGAGAAGACUUGGUCAGGAAUCUCAAAAGAAAAACAGAACAUGGCAGUACAGUUCCUGACGUGAUGCUGAGGGCAGUCAGGCAGGUGACCCUAGCUAAUAAAUCAACCUGGAGUACAAUAAAGGACUUUAAUGUCAUCUACCAUACCUUAGCUCGAUACUGAUAAACAUUCACCCCAGCUGAAAUACAGAGUCAGACAACUCUCCAAACAUAAUAGUUUAUGUUCACGUUUGUUUAGUGGCUAUGUUCAAUGGCUUUUUCUAGCUCAAUGAUAAACAUUUUCUGUGCCUGACUUUGAUGUUCACUUUCAAGUUUAAAAAAUGAGAACCAUAAUAAUUUUGUCCUUGUUUCAAUAGCAGCAAAAUCUACUGUGACGUCUUACCUGAUGGUGGGGUAAGAUGUCACAUGUUCACACUCUCUAUUUGAUUGCUUAUAACUCUGCACUGACACAAGAUAUGAAAAUGACAUGAUUAUGAAAUAUAUACCUGAGACUUUGGUCUUUAAUCUGGUUCACUUUUUGUUUAUAUAUGAUGUAUUGAUUACUAGAAUUAUAUAAGAGUGUAAAAAGUGUGACAACAAGCCCCGGUCUCCCCUAAGUUUUUCUUCUCCUUUGUAACUUACUAAAUGCUGCAGUGUUUCAUCGGUGGGGGAUGAAGAAGAGAUAAGAGUGGGUCUCCUUACAAGCUAGUCUCUUGUGAUAACAUUUAUUGUGAAUUUGUGCUGUUUAAAUAAAUAUUGGCUGAGCAAUUUAAUAUAAAGAGAAAUUUGUGGUGUAGCUGUUGUCUUGAAUUGCAUUAGAUUGCCGAGGUUUUCAUAAUAUUAUAGCUGGUAAGUCUAUGUAGAUUUAUAUCUAAGCCUUUGAAAUAGCAUUUUAAAGGGUACCCCAAUUUAACAGCAGCUACAGUCAGUUUAAAUCAAAGCAGUACAAAGUGACAGAUCACUGACACCCACACUGAGCAUUUUAACAAUCUGCAUCACACUUAGACAUAAUUUUCCUCCACAUAGGUGGAUGAAUGAGUUUCCAUUAUUCGUCAUAUUCAAUCAUGAUGGACCCAAGAACUGGAGAUACAGUGCCGUAAUAUAAAAACAGGUAACAGUUUGAUUGCUGAUGAUCUGGGUGUAGGUGUUGUGAGAAACCAUCACAGUUUAAAUUGCCCUGAUUUGAAUAAUUCAGCUUUUCCUACAAUCACAAGAUGUGACAGCCUCACUUUUCACAUUUCGGAGAAAAAAAAACCCUGUAAUGUUUGAAAUUAAUGUCUUGGCUGCUUCCCUGAGUCAGAUAUGACGUGUGUGUGCUCUGAAAGGACUCGAAGGAAUUUCUGACAGUCAGUUCUUGGAAAAAAAGCGUGGUCCUGAGCUUCACAUUGGCUUUGACUGAUGGAUAAGACACCCCUAUCAAAGCAGCUAGUCGAAAGUUAAUUUUCACCCAGAGUGAGAAGAAGAAGAAGAAGAAGAAGGAAAAAAAACACACACAUGUCUGUUAAUUACGCUUCAGGAAAUCAAAGAUAAUGUAAAUCCUCAUCGACACUGAGAGGCUAAGUAAUGAGGCCACCUGGUGUAAUCAGGUUUGAUGAGGGUUAAGGACGAGGCUCCUCUGCACAGCUCGGAUAUUUAAAGAGAGUACCUGUGGCUUCAGUUACAAGUUGGGAGAACACCAUGAUCCCCUGGUGUUAGCCAUCCAUCAGGAAGUACACCGUCACUAAUUGGUGUGCGUCUGUGUGUGUGUGUGCAUGUCUGCAUCUGACACAUAUGUUGACAUUUAUUAAAUUUGUUACCUUACUUCCUGCCAAUUAGUAUUCUGUAUAUAACAAGCCCUGCAGCAUUGAUGUGAUUUUAACACUUCUCUGCUAGAAGUCAAAGGCAGCUGCUGAAGGUGUCACUCACUCCCUCACUGAUGUCUGGAUAUCUAUAUGUUCCUGUUCUUAUAUUUGUUAGAAUAGCAGUGUGCUCCGACUUAUUGUCUUGAUUUCAGUCGCAGAGAUGCUAUGGUUUUGGCCAUUUGGAAAUCAGUGGCACCUGUAAUCAAUACAUUCACUGCUUGAGAGGCAGUUGUUGAUAGCAAAGGACAGAGCACUGAUGAGAAGAUAGUAGCCAAUCUAAAGGCACUCAUCCAGCUCAGCAUCUGCUGAGAGAGAGACAAAGGCAGGGUGAAUCAGACACACUGUGCUCUCAUCACCUUCACAGUGUCCUCAGCCUUUUUCCAUCUGGAGGUGAAGAGGUUCAGACCAGUGCAGAAACAGAGGUGUCAUCUUUUACUUUCAUCAGUUUUGGUCAGUAAUUGUGAAAUUAAAGCUAUUUGGAAAGAGAGGAGACUGUGAAAGAUUUGUUUUCAAGUACUAUGAGUGAAACAGCACAUCAUCUUAUUAGGAAUGAAACUACCCAAAGAAUUCUGCACAUGCUCUGUAGUUUGCGCAAAGGGCUGUGGGACCCUGAGGUUGAAUAGCAUAAAUGCAUUGUUGAGAGACACCUAUAGACAGAUGAAGAAGAAGACAAAGACAAAGUAGAACGGAAAGAAGCUGUGUGUACUAAAGGAGAGAGCUCAGACGAGUCCAUCACCGAGUGCAGCUCAAGGAAGAACAUUUAUGAUCAUUACUUUAUCAUUUCCAUUAAGUAAUAACCAUCAUAAUAAUAAUUUUGCACUGCAGACACAAUAAUUCUUCUGCCUUAGCAUCUCUGUCUGAUUGCAUUUCCAUGAAACAAUGAUCAUAAAUAUUCUUUCUUGAGCUGCGAAACUCCACUGCAGUCAAUGAAGGACUAGCCUGAGGUCUCACUACAAACAAGCAGCUGCUGGAGGAGAGUGGGUGAGUUGUGUUUAGUCUCUUUGCUAAAGACAUCAGGCAAAGCUAAAAAAGAUGUUUGGUGGCCAGGACUAUGUCUGGGACCCUAUAUGUACUGUUGAUGAAGUAAGGUGCUGUUCUGAGCAUUAUUUGUGGCUAUAGAGUGGCGUUUUGCUUGAGGUGUGUGCGUGGAUCCAUAAACCGCUGUGUAUUGCUAUCAUGCGGAUGUUCCUGAAGUUGGUAUAACUAGCGAAGCAAGCAGCCGGCAACAUUCAUCUCCCCUAACUUGGUGUCUAACUUGGUGUUAUAGUGUGUUUGACCAUAACUCAAUUUUACAACGGAAUAUCCCUUUAACUGUGCAUGUAAAAUGCACUUAAUGGGCUGUUGUAUUUGUCACUAUCAUGUUCACAGCACAGACAUUGAGGGUUGCAUGAUCAGAGAUGUUUGGGAGAAGAGGAAAAAAAUGAAGCAAGAUCAAAUAUAUAAUAAUAUUGAUUUCCUUUGAUAUGUUAUUUUUAAUUCACCCAUCAAUCAAAAACUGAACUCAAUUAUUAUUUGGAUUUUGUUAGCAUCUUAAUGCUUUACUAUGUUUACCAGUCACUGUCUAUAGCCACCAUGUUUCUCUGACAUUUGAUACUCAGUCGAUCGAGUAGACUGAAGAGGAUGCUGAUUGGCGGAGGGGGGGGGGGGCUUAAAGCUUUCAGAUGAAGAGGGGCAAACAGUGAGACAGAUGAUCAUUUUUUUGUGGGUUUUGUCACAGCAAGCAGCUAAUUAUAUACAUUAUAUGAAGUUGUUUCACCAGUUUUUUACAUGAAUGUGCAGAGGAGCUCAUCAAUCACAUCCUUAGGGUUGGUUUUCACAGACAGGACAGAACACGCUGUGAAUUAAAAACAAACAUCAGUCUUUUGAAGGAUGAGGGUUUUCUCCACUUCAAUGUCCACUUCCUGUUGUUUCGUCUUUCAGAGCAUCCCCUCUGCGUUUUCUCUCUUUUAUAAGUGCACACUCACACCUGAGGCGUCAGAAGCACCGGGCUUUGUGUAAGGUGUUGAUAAAUAUGACAGCCUCUCAGACUGUCGAGGGACUCGACAUGAUUUAAACAAGUACAAUAAUGUGACUGCUUGGAUUUUUUUAUUACCUCUGGGCGCAGGGAGUGAUAUUACGAUGAUGGUAUUUCAGUAAUUGAAACCUUGAAAUAUUGUGCUGAAUGUCCUCUCUAACGUGUUUGCAAAGUUUGCUUGUAUCCUGGUGUUAACAAUUAUAUAAAUGCUGCAGUUCAACUAUAGAACGAUUGAACCCCUAAUGCCCCUUUCCCACUCAGGGCUGUAAAAAGAAAUAUAAAUACCCACUAACAUUUAAAUCCUCAGGUGGCGCCUGGCAGCUAAAUGCAGUGCUUAUUACAUACUUACAUCCACCAUAAAAAGGCCUACAAAAUGGGAGUCGUAAUUAUACGUCAUAAUAAGGUUUUUACUUUUUUCUAACAAAGGAAAUCAAACUUUAAAGAAAACACACUGAUUUAAGAAAAUAUAUUUAGCAGAAUUUCUUUGCUUUUAACAGGAAAAUGAUGAUGAGACACAAAUGUGAUGGUGCACAAAUUUGGCCCACUCCCAUUUUAAAGCUCUUGUGAGGAACUUUCAGGGUUUUUUUUUUUGUCAGUUUAAUAACAUUAACCAUUCUUUCCCAGGAACAUCUAACACAAGGCUGUAUCUCCAGUGUGCAGCUUGUCACAUUGCCUGACAUUAACCUCUUGCCAGUGUUUGUCAUUUCUUUGAAAAAGGGUUGCUUUUCUUGCUGUUGAUCUUUCUUUGCCUUCACAGGCUUUGAAGAAACAUUUAUAUUGAUGUGAGUGUGAAAACUCCUCACAGGAGCUUUAACCUGCUCAGGCAUGUUCAAUCUAUCCAGGAUAUUAUGACAUUAAAACCAAUGUAUUUUCUGUAACAACUGCCCUGCUGAAGGACAAAGAGAAACAUUCAUGUUGCUGUCUGUUUGCAUGCAAAUGUGGCUGCAAACACCAGCACAGGAAAUCAUAGAAAAGACGGUAUUCUCGAGGCCACCAGCAUAAUGGUUCCAGCUCUGUGUUCCUCUGUGUUUCUCACUGCACCUUUGUUUCUGGCAUAUUCAUCCAAGGCUGCUGCUUGGUUCAUUAAGUUGCCAGCAAGACGCUGUCAAAUGUAUGCAUUUAGUAGCAGCAUGACCUCCGUGACUAAUCUCAAUUUGGAAUGGCAUCCUGCAAACAUAGGCCGCAUGUGAUCUUGUGCAGCUCUUAGCAGCUGUUACUCUCCUCAAGGAGGAAAAAUUCAACCAGGAAAACGACUCUCACUCCCACCCAAGAUCAGAUAUGUUGAUUUUUCUCAGGGAAAUAAACACUCUGGCAGCUCCCUCUUCCUCCCACACAACCAAAUUAGCUGUCACCGAGGACAUUAAGCUGUCAUUUCUGAGGUUCCUUUCAAACAUGUUUCCAGCAUAUAGAUUCUCUGUGAAUGUCACCGCCAUGCCAUGUUUGAAAUGGAUGAGAUGAUAAAGGAUAGUGAUAGCUAUUGGCAAAGUGAUAACACUGCCAGAGUAAAGUAGAUGGAUGGACUAAUACAUAAAUAAGAAAUUUAGUGAUGUUUACACAGCCUUACUCUGCCUCGCUGACCAUGCAGCCAACAGCUGAUAAACAACACCAGCCUUCAUUGUCUACCAUUACACAAAACCACUACAGUUCCAGUGCUUGAAAUUAAUUUGCUCCCUGUGCGUGCAGAUGAAGUGCACCUCAUUGUGCAUACUAAUGGCCCGCAGAAGGCUUUCAAAAUGAGAGAAUGGCUCUGUUUUGAAGAUGACACUUAAAGUUAAAAUUGGUUUCAGCUCCGAGACACCUCUCUUCCAUCAUAGUGGUGAUAAUUGUGUUCAUGUAUUGGUGUAAAACAGUAAACAAAGCUUAUUUGCACCCUGGUCUCUGGGGUGGGGAAAUGAUGCUCCUCUGGCUGCAGAGCUGAGGGGUCGAUGUUUAUUUUUUGCUGCAAAGGUUUUUGCUCUAAAAAAAAACUAAUGCUGCUGUUUAUUUCUUCAUGAUCUACAUCACAACAGUGUGUUUACAGUCAUGGCAGGACUGGAGGUAAAACAGAUGGCUCUCUGCUGAUGCUCGGUCCUCAUUCGAUGUUACUUUGCUCUGCCAAGCAAAUGUUCAGCAGUGCAUACGCAGCAAUCACAGCUAUUUUUUAUGCUUGAUUUGCACC
Xyrichtys novacula (pearly razorfish) is the source of this 12490-nucleotide non-coding RNA. The record is from the annotation of a GenBank genome assembly. NCBI's taxonomy places the organism in Eukaryota, Metazoa, Chordata, Actinopteri, Labriformes, Labridae.